GGGCAUCGACUGUGGGAAGGAGCUGUGCUGGUAGAAAGGGGCUCUCCAGUCACUGGUCUCUUCUCUGCAGGUCCCCAGCGAUGUGUUGCCA
Molecule: microRNA precursor, 91 nt
Organism: Bison bison bison
Lineage: Eukaryota; Metazoa; Chordata; Mammalia; Artiodactyla; Bovidae
Source: Ensembl